RNAcentral lists this ribosomal RNA (475 nucleotides) under uncultured bacterium. RNAcentral describes it as "SSU rRNA". It matches the Rfam family "Bacterial small subunit ribosomal RNA", at positions 26 to 523 of the family's 1533-position model. The record is from RNAcentral.
AGGACGAACGCUUGCGACGUGCCUAAGAAAUGCAAGUCGAACGAGGCAGCAAUGCCGAGUGGCGAACGGUCGCGUAACACGUGGGCAACCUGCCCUAGAGUGGGGGACAACAGCCCGAAAGGGCUGCUAAUACCGCAUGUGGAUAUUUUGUGGCAUCACUGAGAUAUCCAAAGCAGCAAUGCGCUCUAGGAUGGGCCCGCGGCCUAUCAGCUAGUUGGUGAGGUAACGGCCCACCAAGGCUUCGACGGGUAGCUGGUCUGAGAGGACGAUCAGCCGGAUUGGGGACUGAGAUACGGCCCAGACUCCUACGGGGGGGCAGCAAUUAGGAAUCUUGCGCAAUGGGGGAAACCCUGACGCAGCGACGUCGCGUGGAGGAUGAAAUCUUUCGGGAUGUAAACUCCUUUUGUCUGGGAAGAAACAAUGACGGUACCAGACGAAUAAGCCCCGGCUAACUACGCGCCAGCAGCCGCGGUAA